GUAAGCGCUACAGCCCAGGGUCUAGCAGUAGCUCAGAGGAGCUGGUUUCACGACUUGCAAAUAGCUCAACCUGUUGUCACGAUUCAUUAAAAUCAGAGCAAAAUGUCCGAACUCACUGAAAUUGAAAUAACUUUUUGCCUUAAAGAAUUUAGUAGAAAAUUUAUUGAUCCCCUUUAAAAAAACUUCUAGCUAAGAUUUGUUGGGACUGUACAGCUGCCCUCAGUUGUGGAAAUUUAUUUCAAAAAUUCAUCCCAUUUGUAGAUGAAUUUUCAUUAAAGCUCCCCAGCAGGCGACAAGACUGCAUUUGAACCCAGGGUUUUAAUUAACUCCAAAAUCUAGUUAAAACUUAGAUGACCACGUUAUAUAACCUGUUAGGAACGCAUCUGUAAAGAAUUGACUGUAAAGACGCAGAGGACACCAGACCACCAGACCAAGCUUGCAAGAUUUUGGAAACCAAAAACGCCUUCCCUAGGCACAUAUGAAGAGUAUGGAGGGGCUAAGAAGGCCAGAAAGUUGGAAUCCCUGACAGCAUCAAGGAAGAUCCAGACUGACCUGGGAAUAGUAGUCACCUGAAAAGUAGCAGAACUGUAGACAACUCAGCAGAAACAUUAAGGACAGAGAUAAAAGAGAUCAACAUACCUGAGAAUGGUGACAAGUCAUUUCUAGAGAAAACCAACCCAGAAUGGAGACAAAGACAAACACACAGUUAUCAUUAUAUAAAAAAUAUCACUGGACUUGGAAUCAGCCUAACCAGGAAAACCAGGAAGAGUGAGAAAUAUGAGGGGUAUUGAACUUGAGCAUGAUUGUCUUAGUUGCUUUCUUAUUGCCUUGGUGCCAAAAUAUGUCUUAGAUAUUUUCUCAUUGCUGAGACACAAUACCCAACACAAUGUGGAAAGGUUUAUUUUGGCUUACAGUUUCUAGAGGUUUCACUUGGUAGUUGGAUGGCUUCAAGGGCAGCAUGGCAGAGGGGCAUGGCAGGCAGGAAGCACAGAGCCAUCAAAGGAGGAAUAGGUAUAUUGAUAUAGAUAUACAUACUUCCUUCCAGCCCGUGCCCCCAGUGACCCAUCCCUUCCCACCAGGCUUCACCUCCCAACAUGACACCCAGCUAUAAGCCCAUCAGUGGACUAAUCUGGUGUCGCACACCCAUGAUCCAGUCAGCUCCCAAAGGCCCCACCUAUGAGCAUACAAGGCUUUGGGUGGACAUCUAGAUAUAAGCCAUAAUAAUGACCAACCUAGCCCAUACCACUGAGAGAUUGCAAAAUGGUUUUGGAUGUAAGACUUCUGUGUUUAACCUACAGACUCAAUCUCAUCAUCAGAAUAGUCUCCAUCUGCUUCUCUUCACACUACUUGUUUCCUUUGUAGUUAGCUUGUGGACACCCUACACAUAAAUUCUCCAAGCGGCUCACAGUAUAACAAAUCUCAGGGCAGAGAUUUGCUCAUCUGGGCUGCAUGUCCUGCCCUGAACCUCUUACCGUGUCAAAAGCUAGGGUGAACUCUGAUUGGCCAAACACAGGCUAAAACCAUCCCACUGACAGGCAAGGUCAGAGGAGUCAAUAAACUACAUGGAAUUUCCCUAAAACUGAGGAGUUCAUCCCCCAAAGGGAUAAAAGUAUGCUGGAUGAAUACCAUGCAAGUUGUUAUAGCCUGGUUGCAGUGAGAACAUGAUAGCUGAGUAUAGUAAUGCACACCUGUGAUCCCAGCAUUGAGGGAGAAGGAUCAAAAAAUCAAGCUUAGUCCAAGCAACUUCUUAACGUAUUGAAAUCUAUCUCUUAAAAAGAGAAAAAGAAUUUAAAGCCUGGGGAUGUAGCUCAGUGUAAAGG
RNAcentral lists this long non-coding RNA (1820 nucleotides) under Heterocephalus glaber (naked mole-rat). RNAcentral describes it as "lncRNA (ENSHGLG00100039152.1)". Lineage: Eukaryota; Metazoa; Chordata; Mammalia; Rodentia; Bathyergidae. The record is from RNAcentral.